GAUUUAGUCUCUUGAAGCAAAGUUCUGUGACACUCAGACUCUGAUUAUGAUAGAAGUCAGUGCACUACAGAACUUUGUCUCUGGGGGCUGU
This 91-nucleotide microRNA precursor is filed under the name Pelodiscus sinensis (Chinese soft-shelled turtle). RNAcentral describes it as "microRNA 148a (ENSPSIG00000019428.1)". The stretch from base 12 to 84 matches the Rfam family "mir-148/mir-152 microRNA precursor family". Rfam says of the family: The hairpin precursors (represented here) are predicted based on base pairing and cross-species conservation -- their extents are not known. In this case the mature sequence is excised from the 3' arm of the hairpin. Lineage: Eukaryota; Metazoa; Chordata; Testudines; Trionychidae. The record is from RNAcentral.